This 496-nucleotide ribosomal RNA is filed under the name uncultured bacterium. RNAcentral describes it as "partial 16S ribosomal RNA". It matches the Rfam family "Bacterial small subunit ribosomal RNA", at positions 29 to 507 of the family's 1533-position model. The record is from RNAcentral.
AUGAACGCUGGCGGCGUGCCUCAUACAUGCAAGUCGAGCGAACGGACGAGAAGCUUGCUUCUCUGAUGUUAGCGGCGGACGGGUGAGUAACACGUGGAUAACCUACCUAUAAGACUGGGAUAACUUCGGGAAACCGGAGCUAAUACCGGAUAAUAUUUUGAACCGCAUGGUUCAAAAGUGAAAGACGGUCUUGCUGUCACUUAUAGAUGGAUCCGCGCUGCAUUAGCUAGUUGGUAAGGUAACGGCUUACCAAGGCAACGAUGCAUAGCCGACCUGAGAGGGUGAUCGGCCACACUGGAACUGAGACACGGUCCAGACUCCUACGGGAGGCAGCAGUAGGGAAUCUUCCGCAAUGGGCGAAAGCCUGACGGAGCAACGCCGCGUGAGUGAUGAAGGUCUUCGGAUCGUAAAACUCUGUUAUUAGUGAAGAACAUAUGUGUAAGUAACUGUGCACAUCUUGACGGUACCUAAUCAGAAAGCCACGGCUAACUACGUG